Molecule: long non-coding RNA, 492 nt
Organism: Dreissena polymorpha
Lineage: Eukaryota; Metazoa; Mollusca; Bivalvia; Myida; Dreissenidae
Exons: 3
Source: RefSeq, a predicted model, not a curated record
UUGCUUUCAUAUUUGGCAUGUAGGUACCUUGCAUGGACCUCUACCUUUUGAUGAGGUUUGAGGUCUCUGGGGUCAAGGUCAAGGUCACCGAGGCUAAUAAUAGACUUCCUUCCGUCACACUUUUGCUACCGUUUCUCAUAGCGCCUUCAAUACUUUACCAAUCGCUUUCAUAUUUGGCAUGUAGGUACCUUGCAUGGACCUCUACCUUUUGAUGAGGUUUGAGGUCACUGGGGUCAAGGUCAAGGUCAACGAGGCUAAUAAUAGACUUCCUUCUGUCACACUUUUGCUACCGUUUCUCAUAGCGCCUUUAAUACUUAACCAAUCGCUUUCAUAUUUGGCAUGUAGGUACCUUGCAUGGACCUCUACCUUUUGAUGAGGUUUGAGGUCACUGGGUCAAGGUCACCGAGGCUAAUAGAUAUUUUAGGUGUUUAUUAACACAUACAUUGACAAAGCGCAUCAUCGGGGAGCAUCCAUCAGUUUUACUGAUAUUCU